GACGAACGCUGGCGGCGUGCUUAACACAUGCAAGUCGAACGCUGAAGCUCAGCUUUUGUUGGGUGGAUGAGUGGCGAACGGGUGAGUAACACGUGAGUAACCUGCCCCCUUCUUUGGGAUAACGCCCGGAAACGGGUGCUAAUACUGGAUAUUCACUGGUCUUCGCAUGGGGGUUGGUGGAAAGGGUUUUUCUGGUGGGGGAUGGGCUCGCGGCCUAUCAGCUUGUUGGUGGGGUGAUGGCCUACCAAGGCUUUGACGGGUAGCCGGCCUGAGAGGGUGACCGGUCACAUUGGGACUGAGAUACGGCCCAGACUCCUACGGGAGGCAGCAGUGGGGAAUAUUGCACAAUGGGCGCAAGCCUGACGCAGCGACGCCGCGUGAGGGAUGGAGGCCUUCGGGUUGUGAACCUCUUUCGCUCAUGGUCAAGCCGCAACAAUGGUUGUGGUGAGGGUAGUGGGUAAAGAAGCGCCGGCUAACUACGUG
This 483-nucleotide ribosomal RNA is filed under the name uncultured bacterium. RNAcentral describes it as "partial 16S ribosomal RNA". It matches the Rfam family "Bacterial small subunit ribosomal RNA", at positions 28 to 507 of the family's 1533-position model. The record is from RNAcentral.